UGGGGAAUUUUGGACAAUGGGCGAAAGCCUGAUCCAGCAAUGCCGCGUGUGUGAAGAAGGCCUUCGGGUUGUAAAGCACUUUUGUCCGGAAAGAAAUCCUUGGCUCUAAUACAGUCGGGGGAUGACGGUACCGGAAGAAUAAGCACCGGCUAACUACGUGCCAGCAGCCGCGGUAAUACGUAGGGUGCAAGCGUUAAUCGGAAUUACUGGGCGUAAAGCGUGCGCAGGCGGUUUGCUAAGACCGAUGUGAAAUCCCCGGGCUCAACCUGGGAACUGCAUUGGUGACUGGCAGGCUAGAGUAUGGCAGAGGGGGGUAGAAUUCCACGUGUAGCAGUGAAAUGCGUAGAGAUGUGGAGGAAUACCGAUGGCGAAGGCAGCCCCCUGGGCCAAUACUGACGCUCAUGCACGAAAGCGUGGGGAGCAAACAGGAUUAGAUACCCUGGUAGUCCACGCCCUAAAACGAUGUCAACUAGUUGUUGGGGAUUCAUUUCCUUAGUAACGUAGCUAACGCGUGAAGUUGACCGCCUGGGGAGUACGGUCGCAAGAUUAAAACUUAAAGGAAUUGACGGGGUCAUAGC
Molecule: ribosomal RNA, 578 nt
Filed under: uncultured bacterium
Lineage: Bacteria
Description: partial 16S ribosomal RNA
Rfam family: Bacterial small subunit ribosomal RNA
Source: RNAcentral